Long non-coding RNA from Ficedula albicollis (Collared flycatcher), 501 nucleotides. Lineage: Eukaryota; Metazoa; Chordata; Aves; Passeriformes; Muscicapidae. The record is from Ensembl.
UCUCUCUUGAGGAAAAUACUGCAUACUGAAACUGUCCAUGACAGGCAGUGUACCAGAGCCUGGGGUAAUUUCUCCAGCAGCUAACUAUCCAUAAAAUUGUGCCAGAUGCAUCCUCAGGUUCUCCAUCAGCCAGUAGAGCCAAGAGAAGGGGCAGCCCAGAGGGGAAACCACUGACUGCUGCAAAUAAGCCAGUCUCAUAUGUUUGCACUUCUAAUUGAGAGGCUGAAUUGGAUGGAGCAGUCUCCUCAAAGCAGUGGGCAGGCAUCAACUCUGGCCUGUGCAGAUCUAGGCUUUGCUCUUCUUUGGGUUGUAUGUACCAGCCUCUUGUAUGGUGAGCAUCUGUGCAAGUGUGGAAGUUUAUCUAGAGAAGUCUAUCUGCUCAGAUUCACAUAGAUGAAGGAGGCAGAUGAUGUUGUACUGAUGCCUUAAGGAGAUUAAAGUCAUAGGUUUGAGGGUUGCUGGAACGUGUGGAAUAAACAGUCUGAGUCUUCUUUCUUCCAU